GAUGAAGAACGUAGCAAAAUGCGAUAAGUAGUGUGAAUUGCAGAAUUCAGUGAAUCAUCGAAUCUUUGAACGCACAUUGCGCCCGCUGGUAUUCCGGCGGGCAUGCCUGUUCGAGCGUCAUUUCAACCCUCAAGCCCCCGGGUUUGGUGUUGGGGAUCGGCUCUGCCUUCUGGCGGUGCCGCCCCCGAAAUACAUUGGCGGUCUCGCUGCAGCCUCCAUUGCGUAGUAGCUAACACCUCGCAACUGGAACGCGGCGCGGCCAUGCCGUAAAACCCCAACUUCUGAAUGUUGACCUCGGAUCAGGUAGGAAUACCCGCUGAACUUAAGCAUAUCAAUAAGCGGAGGA
This 346-nucleotide unclassified non-coding RNA is filed under the name soil metagenome. RNAcentral's name for it is "partial contains 5.8S ribosomal RNA, internal transcribed spacer 2, and large subunit ribosomal RNA". The stretch from base 1 to 120 matches the Rfam family "5.8S ribosomal RNA", at positions 35 to 154 of the family's 154-position model. The record is from RNAcentral.